CCGAUUUUUCGCCUUCCUUUCCAACUUUCCUAUACAUGCAUAUCGAUGGAAAACAAGAGCAAAAGCAUCAGAGAAAUCCGGCAAAUAACGGUGGUCUCGAGAGAUCGAGCGUGCCGAUAGGUGCAGAUUUGUAGGGGUUCUGGUCAACCGAUAACCAAGCUGUUUCCUCUCCCUCCCCCAUUUUUUCUCUCCCUCGAUAUCCGGCUUAAUCGUUCCACCCCCUCAACUUCCGAAUCCACGAAGAAGAUCUUUCUCUCUCGAAUAGGGGGGGGAGGGCGCCGAUCUAGUGGCAGUAGAUGGUAGUGGUGGGCAAAGUUUCGAGUUCCUGCGGAAUGCGAGUUCCUCGGCUGGACCAGAACGAUGAAGACGUCAGCUGGUGGAGAACGCGUGGGAGUGCCAGCUGGGUAUACACCGCCGCCUGGCCAGCCGGUGGGUGUUCCCUCUCUCUCUUUCUUCCCCCCUUUUCUCUCUCUAAGUAUUAUCGUCCCCUCGUUUCUUUUUUUCGCCUCGUUUCAAUUUAGUCCCGUAAGAUACUCUCCAGGUACGUCUACUUUACGACGGCAGCGCGCGCAUACCGGCAGACCACCGCGCGAAAAGAAGUCGAAAAGAAGGUUUCUAAGGGAGGACGAGGAUAAGGGUGAGACGAGUCUGAUCAGAACGUCGUAAGGAACAAUCGAACUGGCUAUUUACAAUACUCAUUCGUGCAAAAAAGAAAAAAAAGAGAUGCAGAUUCCAGAACCGCUUUAUCCACGGAACGGGAAACGUACAACGAACAAAAAAAAAUAAUCGCAAGAGGAAGGAAAAGAGAGAGACAGGUAGCAGCGGAUGGGAUCGCGGAGGAAGAGAGGAGAGGAGGCGCGAGAAUCUGUCAGGGCAGGCACACUCGGGCACAGAUUUACAAGGCUGCCGCUGUUUUACGACCCCGCAAAGUGCCGCCCGCCGCCCCCUCCCCAUUGCCCCGCGCCCACACCAACGAUCGGUCGUCAAGGACAGGCCGCGACUCGACUCGACUCGACUCGAAUCGAUCCGCCGUCGUUUUCGAAAAACUCGACUCGUCUCCGUUCCUCGAGAAACUCACCUCGUCCGUUCGCCAAUAUCAAGGUCGCGGCGCGGUUCACGGAGGGGGAGGCGCGCCCACGCGCGCUAGUAAGCACCCGGUAGCCCCCGCGUGGACGGUCAAUCUUCCAGUGGGACGCGUGCGUUCCGUGGACACUGAGAGAAGAGAGAGUUUUUGAAUGAGAGGGAUAAGAGGAUGUAGAGGGGGUUAUUCCUCCCGUUAUCGGGGGAAGAGAGUACAGGGAGGCCUGUGUUGGGUUACGCGCAGGUGUCUCGGCCGUGUUUUACUGCGCCAUAAUUGAGCCGAGGCGGCGGAAGUUAGCACACGAAGAUAGCGCCGUGUCGCGCCGCUUUGGAUAUCGUUCAACAGGCUCCCCCCUCUCCGCCUUCUCUCCGUCAAAAUUCUGUUAGAGCCGGCGAGAUUGGCGGCGAACUCAUCUCGUCCGAUGAAUCGAGCAGCGCUCGUCGAUACUUGUUAUUUUCCCUCGGUCCCAGAUGAGAAGGAAACGAUUGAAAGCGUAGCGCGAGAUAGACGUGCGAAACGUUUCGACUCGUGCGCGGUACUGAACGGACGGUUUUACGUCUCGGCCGUGAAUGUUUGUAUACACGCGCCUAAAGCGAAAUCUACUUUCGUUUAUUUUGAAUGGAAGGUCUCCUUUUGUGAAAUGUAAACUAUGUUAUGAUAAUUUCAAGUGUUCUUCGCUUUCGAUCGUGUAUUGUAGUAUAUAAUUGUAUGAUAUUAUAUAUUAUUGACACGUUGAUAUAAAAAAUGUUAAAAUUAGAAUGGAUACGUGGUACGUUAAUCGCGAAACACUAUUCAAAUUUGCGUUUAAUUUAAUUGGAAAAAAUAAAGAAAUUUUAAACG
This is a long non-coding RNA of Apis cerana (Asiatic honeybee), 1921 nucleotides long. RefSeq lists it as uncharacterized. Lineage: Eukaryota; Metazoa; Arthropoda; Insecta; Hymenoptera; Apidae. The record is from RefSeq and is a predicted model, not a curated record.